CUCAGGUUUGAGCUACAUCUACUUAAUCAAGAAGGUUAAAGCUAGAAUUUUCGGCAGAGUAUGAGUGGUUUGUUCCAUCAUCCUGUGAAGACCUACCCCUGAAUCGCUCCGAGAGAUGCAUUGUGGACAGCGCAGCGGGUCUAUGGACUUUCCAGUGCUCUCAGCCACUCUGUGUUGUCUCCUUCCCCCCCUCCCCGGCGAGAAUUUCUCCCAUUUUGCCCCAAGGUAAAACAAAUGAAAAGAUCACAAAUUUUGAUAAGCACUUUAUAGGAAAUAAAAGAUUGCGACUGACAUACCUGGAGAGGUACUAAUCAGACGAGGGAGGGGUCAGGAAAGGCCUCUUUGAUGCCCAGACAUUUAACUGAAAAGACCCUUCCAGGCAGAGGAAACAACACUUGCCCUAAACCUCGGAUACUAUAAGGAACUGGGGGCAGUGGUGGUGGUGGGAGGUGGUGAAGGUGGGAGAUACUGGGGCUUAAACAAAAUGAGCAAGGAGGAAGACUGAACUAUAAGGUUGAAGAAGGAGGCAGGAGCUACAUCAGGCAGGGAGGGGCUUGGAGUUCACGUCAGAGAAUAGACUUCUUCCAAAGCGCGAGGGUGCAGCAGACAUUGGAAAAUAGAGGCAAGGUCCUGAGACUUUGGUGUUUAAUAAAAACAAUUCUCUAAUGUUCUUUAGCUAAGAAUGAAUGUGAUUAUUCCUUUUCUGUUGUUUUGUUUUUAAAGUGGGGAUUGAACCCAGGGCCUUUGCAGUGAGGUACAUCCUCAGCCCUUUUUCGUUUUUUAUUUUUAGACAGGGUCUUACUAAAUUGUUAAUAUGCCUGGGUUGGACUUGAAUUUGGGGUCCAUUUUUCUUUACAUGAUCCAAGGAAUCGUGAAUUAUGUCAAAGCUAGUUAUCUUGCCACCCACAACUAAAAUGGGCUCUGAAUCCAAAUAUAAAGAUGACUUUUUGUAUGGUCUGUCGGGAGCAAUGUUACAUAAUUUUAGGGAAAAAUCAUUUGGUUAGCCUAGUUCUCCUGCCUACAGCCCAGCUAUGGUAUUCUGAGACAUAAUUCCAUUUUGGCCUCCAG
Molecule: long non-coding RNA, 1068 nt
Filed under: Heterocephalus glaber (naked mole-rat)
Lineage: Eukaryota; Metazoa; Chordata; Mammalia; Rodentia; Bathyergidae
Description: lncRNA (ENSHGLG00000032138.1)
Source: RNAcentral